RNAcentral lists this ribosomal RNA (2932 nucleotides) under Escherichia coli. Its description in RNAcentral is "23S ribosomal RNA". It matches the Rfam family "Bacterial large subunit ribosomal RNA". Lineage: Bacteria; Pseudomonadati; Pseudomonadota; Gammaproteobacteria; Enterobacterales; Enterobacteriaceae. The record is from RNAcentral.
GGGUUGUGAGGUUAAGCGACUAAGCGUACACGGUGGAUGCCCUGGCAGUCAGAGGCGAUGAAGGACGUGCUAAUCUGCGAUAAGCGUCGGUAAGGUGAUAUGAACCGUUAUAACCGGCGAUUUCCGAAUGGGGAAACCCAGUGUGAUUCGUCACACUAUCAUUAACUGAAUCCAUAGGUUAAUGAGGCGAACCGGGGGAACUGAAACAUCUAAGUACCCCGAGGAAAAGAAAUCAACCGAGAUUCCCCCAGUAGCGGCGAGCGAACGGGGAGCAGCCCAGAGCCUGAAUCAGUGUGUGUGUUAGUGGAAGCGUCUGGAAAGGCGCGCGAUACAGGGUGACAGCCCCGUACACAAAAAUGCACAUACUGUGAGCUCGAUGAGUAGGGCGGGACACGUGGUAUCCUGUCUGAAUAUGGGGGGACCAUCCUCCAAGGCUAAAUACUCCUGACUGACCGAUAGUGAACCAGUACCGUGAGGGAAAGGCGAAAAGAACCCCGGCGAGGGGAGUGAAAAAGAACCUGAAACCGUGUACGUACAAGCAGUGGGAGCACAGAGCAAUCUGUGUGACUGCGUACCUUUUGUAUAAUGGGUCAGCGACUUAUAUUCUGUAGCAAGGUUAACCGAAUAGGGGAGCCGAAGGGAAACCGAGUCUUAACUGGGCGUUAAGUUGCAGGGUAUAGACCCGAAACCCGGUGAUCUAGCCAUGGGCAGGUUGAAGGUUGGGUAACACUAACUGGAGGACCGAACCGACUAAUGUUGAAAAAUUAGCGGAUGACUUGUGGCUGGGGGUGAAAGGCCAAUCAAACCGGGAGAUAGCUGGUUCUCCCCGAAAGCUAUUUAGGUAGCGCCUCGUGAAUUCAUCUCCGGGGGUAGAGCACUGUUUCGGCAAGGGGGUCAUCCCGACUUACCAACCCGAUGCAAACUGCGAAUACCGGAGAAUGUUAUCACGGGAGACACACGGCGGGUGCUAACGUCCGUCGUGAAGAGGGAAACAACCCAGACCGCCAGCUAAGGUCCCAAAGUCAUGGUUAAGUGGGAAACGAUGUGGGAAGGCCCAGACAGCCAGGAUGUUGGCUUAGAAGCAGCCAUCAUUUAAAGAAAGCGUAAUAGCUCACUGGUCGAGUCGGCCUGCGCGGAAGAUGUAACGGGGCUAAACCAUGCACCGAAGCUGCGGCAGCGACGCUUAUGCGUUGUUGGGUAGGGGAGCGUUCUGUAAGCCUGUGAAGGUGUACUGUGAGGUAUGCUGGAGGUAUCAGAAGUGCGAAUGCUGACAUAAGUAACGAUAAAGCGGGUGAAAAGCCCGCUCGCCGGAAGACCAAGGGUUCCUGUCCAACGUUAAUCGGGGCAGGGUGAGUCGACCCCUAAGGCGAGGCCGAAAGGCGUAGUCGAUGGGAAACAGGUUAAUAUUCCUGUACUUGGUGUUACUGCGAAGGGGGGACGGAGAAGGCUAUGUUGGCCGGGCGACGGUUGUCCCGGUUUAAGCGUGUAGGCUGGUUUUCCAGGCAAAUCCGGAAAAUCAAGGCUGAGGCGUGAUGACGAGGCACUACGGUGCUGAAGCAACAAAUGCCCUGCUUCCAGGAAAAGCCUCUAAGCAUCAGGUAACAUCAAAUCGUACCCCAAACCGACACAGGUGGUCAGGUAGAGAAUACCAAGGCGCUUGAGAGAACUCGGGUGAAGGAACUAGGCAAAAUGGUGCCGUAACUUCGGGAGAAGGCACGCUGAUAUGUAGGUGAAGCGACUUGCUCGUGGAGCUGAAAUCAGUCGAAGAUACCAGCUGGCUGCAACUGUUUAUUAAAAACACAGCACUGUGCAAACACGAAAGUGGACGUAUACGGUGUGACGCCUGCCCGGUGCCGGAAGGUUAAUUGAUGGGGUCAGCGCAAGCGAAGCUCUUGAUCGAAGCCCCGGUAAACGGCGGCCGUAACUAUAACGGUCCUAAGGUAGCGAAAUUCCUUGUCGGGUAAGUUCCGACCUGCACGAAUGGCGUAAUGAUGGCCAGGCUGUCUCCACCCGAGACUCAGUGAAAUUGAACUCGCUGUGAAGAUGCAGUGUACCCGCGGCAAGACGGAAAGACCCCGUGAACCUUUACUAUAGCUUGACACUGAACAUUGAGCCUUGAUGUGUAGGAUAGGUGGGAGGCUUUGAAGUGUGGACGCCAGUCUGCAUGGAGCCGACCUUGAAAUACCACCCUUUAAUGUUUGAUGUUCUAACGUGGACCCGUGAUCCGGGUUGCGGACAGUGUCUGGUGGGUAGUUUGACUGGGGCGGUCUCCUCCUAAAGAGUAACGGAGGAGCACGAAGGUUGGCUAAUCCUGGUCGGACAUCAGGAGGUUAGUGCAAUGGCAUAAGCCAGCUUGACUGCGAGCGUGACGGCGCGAGCAGGUGCGAAAGCAGGUCAUAGUGAUCCGGUGGUUCUGAAUGGAAGGGCCAUCGCUCAACGGAUAAAAGGUACUCCGGGGAUAACAGGCUGAUACCGCCCAAGAGUUCAUAUCGACGGCGGUGUUUGGCACCUCGAUGUCGGCUCAUCACAUCCUGGGGCUGAAGUAGGUCCCAAGGGUAUGGCUGUUCGCCAUUUAAAGUGGUACGCGAGCUGGGUUUAGAACGUCGUGAGACAGUUCGGUCCCUAUCUGCCGUGGGCGCUGGAGAACUGAGGGGGGCUGCUCCUAGUACGAGAGGACCGGAGUGGACGCAUCACUGGUGUUCGGGUUGUCAUGCCAAUGGCACUGCCCGGUAGCUAAAUGCGGAAGAGAUAAGUGCUGAAAGCAUCUAAGCACGAAACUUGCCCCGAGAUGAGUUCUCCCUGACUCCUUGAGAGUCCUGAAGGAACGUUGAAGACGACGACGUUGAUAGGCCGGGUGUGUAAGCGCAGCGAUGCGUUGAGCUAACCGGUACUAAUGAACCGUGAGGCUUAACCUUACAACGCCGAAGCUGUU